UCUAAGUACGUGCCUAAGAAAGGUGAAACCGCGAAUGGCUCAUUAAAUCAGUUAUGGUUCCUUAGAUCGUACCUUACUACUUGGAUAACUGUGGUAAUUCUAGAGCUAAUACAUGCAGCAGAGCUCCGACCUUCGGGGACGAGCGCUUUUAUUAGACCAAGACCAAUCGGACUUCGGUCCGAAGCUCAUGGUGACUCUGGAUAACUUUGGGCUGAUCGCACGGUCUCGUACCGGCGACGCAUCUUUCAAGUGUCUGCCUUAUCAACUUUCGAUGGUAGGUUAUGCGCCUACCAUGGUCGUAACGGGUAACGGGGAAUCAGGGUUCGAUUCCGGAGAGGGAGCCUGAGAAACGGCUACCACAUCCAAGGAAGGCAGCAGGCGCGCAAAUUACCCACUCCCGGCACGGGGAGGUAGUGACGAAAAAUAACAAUACGGGACUCUAUUGAGGCCCCGUAAUUGGAAUGAGUACACUCUAAAUCCUUUAACGAGGAUCUAUUGGAGGGCAAGUCUGGUGCCAGCAGCCGCGGUAAUUCCAGCUCCAAUAGCGUAUAUUAAAGUUGUUGCGGUUAAAAAGCUCGUAGUUGGAUCUCAGUUCCAGACGGGUGGUCCACCCCUGGUGGUUACUGCCUGGCCUGAACAAAUCCAGCCGGUUUUCCUUGAUGCUCUUCACCGAGUGUCUUGGGUGACCGGCACGUUUACUUUGAAAAAAUUAGAGUGCUCAAAGCAGGCGUGACGCCUGAAUAAUGGUGCAUGGAAUAAUGGAAUAGGACCUCGGUUCUAUUUUGUUGGUUUUCGGAACACGAGGUAAUGAUUAAGAGGGACAGACGGGGGCAUUCGUAUUGCGACGCUAGAGGUGAAAUUCUUGGACCGUCGCAAGACGAACUACU
Molecule: ribosomal RNA, 887 nt
Filed under: Orientzomus sp. JCM0081.1
Lineage: Eukaryota; Metazoa; Arthropoda; Arachnida; Schizomida; Hubbardiidae
Also listed under: 1 other name
Description: SSU rRNA
Rfam family: Eukaryotic small subunit ribosomal RNA
Source: RNAcentral